RNAcentral lists this ribosomal RNA (411 nucleotides) under Triticum aestivum (bread wheat). Its description in RNAcentral is "partial small subunit ribosomal RNA". The record is from RNAcentral. Lineage: Eukaryota; Viridiplantae; Streptophyta; Magnoliopsida; Poales; Poaceae.
AUGAAGAAGCUUGGAGUUGACAGGUGGUGCUUCCAUGACAGGGACAUCGCCCCUGAUGGGAAAACAUUUCCGCACAAGGAAUAUGGGCAUGCUAUGAUUACUUUGGUGGAGACAUAUUUAAGAAUGGUGUUAUCACUGAAUGCCCUUGAUGUCUGCCAAGAAGAAGGGAGCAAGCGGCAGAAGAUUAUGAUAUUGCUGCUAUUGGGAGAUGCAGUAAAAUGUGGACAAGUUCCUGUAUUUUAUGGAAGGUGUAGUAUUGAAGCUUCUUGCACUGAUCUAGAAUGGAUCUUGACUUCGCCCAAGAGUGAGUCUCCUUUUCAUUCGAGCGGGGCGAUGAGGGAAAGAACUGGUUGUGGUGAAAGUCAGUUUAGUUUAUCAAAGAUUGGAGGUUCUGAGAUUUGCAAGAGGUGA